This 136-nucleotide microRNA precursor is filed under the name Chlorocebus sabaeus (green monkey). Its description in RNAcentral is "miRNA (ENSCSAG00000024663.1)". The record is from RNAcentral. Lineage: Eukaryota; Metazoa; Chordata; Mammalia; Primates; Cercopithecidae.
UUCUUGAGCCUCAGAGGAAGCAUGGCCGUAGGGACACCUUGAUUUUGGACUUUCAGCCUCCAGAACUGUGAGAAAAUAAAAUUUGGUUGUUUUAAGCCACAAAGUUAGUGGUAAUUUGUUAUGGCAGCCCUAAGAA